This 252-nucleotide ribosomal RNA is filed under the name uncultured prokaryote. RNAcentral describes it as "partial 16S ribosomal RNA". It matches the Rfam family "Bacterial small subunit ribosomal RNA", at positions 524 to 775 of the family's 1533-position model. The record is from RNAcentral.
GACAGAGGGUGCUAGCGUUGUUCGGAAUUACUGGGCGUAAAGCGCACGUAGGCGGCUUUGCAAGUUAGAGGUGAAAGCCCGGGGCUCAACUCCGGAAUUGCCUUUAAGACUGCAUCGCUAGAAUUGUGGAGAGGUAAGUGGAAUUCCGAGUGUAGAGGUGGAAUUCGUAGAUAUUCGGAAGAACACCAGUGGCGAAGGCGACUUACUGGACACAUAUUGACGCUGAGGUGCGAAAGCGUGGGGAGCAAACAG